AUCAUCUUUGCAUCUGGUCAAAAUGCAGAUUCUGAUUCAGUAGAUCUGGAAUGGCAACUGAGAUUCUGCAUUUCUAAUAAGCUCACAGGUGAUGCCAA
Molecule: microRNA precursor, 98 nt
Organism: Pan troglodytes (chimpanzee)
Lineage: Eukaryota; Metazoa; Chordata; Mammalia; Primates; Hominidae
Rfam family: mir-544 microRNA precursor family
Source: Rfam